RNAcentral lists this ribosomal RNA (468 nucleotides) under uncultured bacterium. RNAcentral describes it as "partial 16S ribosomal RNA". It matches the Rfam family "Bacterial small subunit ribosomal RNA", at positions 28 to 523 of the family's 1533-position model. The record is from RNAcentral.
GAUGAACGCUGGCGGCGUGCCUAACACAUGCAAGUCGAGCGAUUCUCUUCGGAGAAGAGCGGCGGACGGGUGAGUAACGCGUGGGUAACCUGCCCUGUACACACGGAUAACAUACCGAAAGGUAUGCUAAUACGAGAUAAUAUGCUUUUAUCGCAUGGGAGAAGUACCAAAGCUUCGGCGGUACAGGAUGGACCCGCGUCUGAUUAGCUAGUUGGUAAGGUAACGGCUUACCAAGGCGACGAUCAGUAGCGGACCGGAGAGGGUGAUCGGCCACAUUGGAACGGAGACACGGUCCAAACUCCUACGGGAGGCAGCAGUAGGGAAUAUUGCACAAUGGGCGAAAGCCUGAUGCAGCAACGCCGCGUGAGCGAUGAAGGCCUUCGGGUCGUAAAGCUCUGUCCUCAAGGAAGAUAAUGACGGUACUUGAGGAGGAAGCCCCGGCUAACUCCGUGCCAGCAGCCGCCGUAA